Molecule: long non-coding RNA, 88 nt
Organism: Trachymyrmex septentrionalis
Lineage: Eukaryota; Metazoa; Arthropoda; Insecta; Hymenoptera; Formicidae
Exons: 3
Source: RefSeq, a predicted model, not a curated record
ACUUGUUUUGAACCUCUUAUACGAGGUCUACAAUAGAAGUCGUAGUGGUCGUAGGGUUUUAAGUCGUAGAAAAUUGACCAAUCAUAGU